UGCAGUGAUGUCCUUUGUGUGUGUUUUAUUGUGCAGAGACUGAACCAGCUGCAGUCUACUCAGCAGUGAGAGCUGAAGACGUCAGUUAUGGACCAAUUAUCAUCAUAGAGAAGCAAAGAAAGUCAAAGAAAAGAGAGUGUGAUCCAGCUGGAGUCUACUCAUCAGUGCAAACUGGAGACGUCAGUUAUGGACAAAUCACCAUCAAAGA
This is a non-coding RNA of Neolamprologus brichardi, 208 nucleotides long. Lineage: Eukaryota; Metazoa; Chordata; Actinopteri; Cichliformes; Cichlidae. The record is from RefSeq and is a predicted model, not a curated record.